GUCCGGAUAGUAUAAUGGCAGUACGUGUGGGUCAUAACCACGAAUUGAAGGUUCAACCCCUCCUCCGGAUA
Molecule: non-coding RNA, 71 nt
Organism: Gigaspora rosea
Lineage: Eukaryota; Fungi; Glomeromycota; Glomeromycetes; Diversisporales; Gigasporaceae
Source: the annotation of a GenBank genome assembly